AGUGAACGCUGGCGGUAGGCCUAACACAUGCAAGUCGAACGGCAGCACAGUAAGAGCUUGCUCUUACGGGUGGCGAGUGGCGGACGGGUGAGGAAUACAUCGGAAUCUACUUUUUCGUGGGGGAUAACGUAGGGAAACUUACGCUAAUACCGCAUACGACCUACGGGUGAAAGCAGUGGAUCUUCGGACCUUGCGCGAUUGAAUGAGCCGAUGUCGGAUUAGCUAGUUGGCGGGGUAAAGGCCCACCAAGGCGACGAUCCGUAGCUGGUCUGAGAGGAUGAUCAGCCACACUGGAGCUGAGACACGGUCCAGACUCCUACGGGAGGCAGCAGUGGGGAAUAUUGGACAAUGGGCGCAAGCCUGAUCCAGCCAUACCGCGUGGGUGAAGAAGGCCUUCGGGUUGUAAAGCCCUUUUGUUGGGAAAGAAAAGCAGCAGGAUAAUACCCCGCUGUUCUGACGGUACCAAAAGAAUAAGCACCGGCUAACUUCGUG
This 492-nucleotide ribosomal RNA is filed under the name uncultured bacterium. Its description in RNAcentral is "partial 16S ribosomal RNA". It matches the Rfam family "Bacterial small subunit ribosomal RNA", at positions 29 to 507 of the family's 1533-position model. The record is from RNAcentral.